RNAcentral lists this ribosomal RNA (477 nucleotides) under Centipeda sp. oral taxon D18. Its description in RNAcentral is "bacterial SSU rRNA". It matches the Rfam family "Bacterial small subunit ribosomal RNA", at positions 28 to 478 of the family's 1533-position model. The record is from RNAcentral. Lineage: Bacteria; Bacillati; Bacillota; Negativicutes; Selenomonadales; Selenomonadaceae.
GACGAACGCUGGCGGCGUGCUUAACACAUGCAAGUCGAACGGAGCGAAUGAAAGCUUGCUUUUAUGAGCUUAGUGGCAAACGGGUGAGUAACACGUAGACAACCUGCCGACAGGAUGGGGACAACAUUCCGAAAGGAAUGCUAAUACCGAAUGAAGUCAGAGAAGGGCAUCCUUUUCUGAUGAAAGAUGGCCUCUAUUUAUAAGCUAUCACCUGUCGAUGGGUCUGCGUCUGAUUAGCUGGUUGGUGAGGUAACGGCUCACCAAGGCGACGAUCAGUAGCCGGUCUGAGAGGAUGAACGGCCACAUUGGGACUGAGACACGGCCCAGACUCCUACGGGAGGCAGCAGUGGGGAAUCCUCCGCAAUGGGCGCAAGCCUGACGGAGCAACGCCGCGUGAGUGAAGAAGGUCUUCGGAUCGUAAAGCUCUGUUGAUGGGGACGAACGUGCGAAGGGGAAUAAUCCUUUGCAAGACGGUAC